Molecule: ribosomal RNA, 423 nt
Filed under: uncultured bacterium
Lineage: Bacteria
Description: partial 16S ribosomal RNA
Rfam family: Bacterial small subunit ribosomal RNA
Source: RNAcentral
AUUUUGGACAAUGGGGGAAACCCUGAUCUAGACAUCACGCGAGUAUGAUGAAGGCNUUNNGGUUGNANAGUACUUUUGGCAGANNNNNAAAGGCAGCCCAUAAUACGGGAUGCUGCUGACGGUAUCUGCAGAAUAAGCCCCGGCUAACUACGUGCCAGCAGCCGCGGUAAUACGUAGGGUGCAAGCGUUAAUCGGAAUUACUGGGCGUUAAGCGUGUGUAGGCGGUUCGGAAAGGAAGAUGUUAAAUCCCAGGGCUCAACCUUGGAACUGCAUUUUUAACUGCCGAGCUAGAGUAUGUCAGAGGGGGGUAGAAUUCCACGUGUAGCAGUGAAAUGCGUAGAUAUGUGGAGGAAUACCGAUGGCGAAGGCAGCCCCCUGGGAUAAUACUGACGCUCAGACACGAAAGCGUGGGGAGCAAACAGG